GCAUAUCAAUAAGCGGAGGAAAAGAAACUAACAAGGAUUCCCUUAGUAACGGCGAGUGAAGUGGGAAUGGCACAAAUUUAAAAUCUGGCCAGUUUCUGGUCCGAAUUGUAAUCUAAAGAAGCGUUUUCCGCGUCCAGCUCGAGUAUAGGUCCCUUGGAAUAGGGCAUCAUAGAGGGUGAGAAUCCCGUCUGUGACACGAGGUUGGAGGUGAUAUGAUGCGCUUUCGACGAGUCGAGUUGUUUGGGAUUGCAGCUCAAAAUGGGUGGUAAAUUCCAUCUAAGGCUAAAUAAUGGCAAGAGACCGAUAGCGAACAAGUACCGUGAGGGAAAGAUGAAAAGAACUUUGAAAAGAGAGUUAAACAGUACGUGAAAUUGUUGAAAGGGAAACGAUUGAAGCCAGUCGUGCUGGCGGGAAAUCAGCUUCCGGGAUUACUGGGGGUGCACUUUCUCGCAAGGCAGGUUAGCAUCAAUUUCGUAGGUUGUAAAAAGUCCGUCGGAAUGUGACUCCUUUCGGAGUGUUAUAGCCAGCGGUCAAUGCGACGCGCGGGAUUGAGGAUUGCAGCGGGAGCCUUUAUGGCUAAGUGCCUGGCCCUUGUUCGUGUUCGUCUUGGCAACAGCGUGCUGGUGUCGGGAACGAUUCGAUGGACUAGAGAUGUAGAGUCACGGUAAACUCGCUAAGGAUGCUGACGUAAUGGCUUUAAACGAC
Molecule: ribosomal RNA, 705 nt
Filed under: uncultured Archaeospora
Lineage: Eukaryota; Fungi; Glomeromycota; Glomeromycetes; Archaeosporales; Archaeosporaceae
Description: eukaryotic LSU rRNA
Rfam family: Eukaryotic large subunit ribosomal RNA
Source: RNAcentral